RNAcentral lists this long non-coding RNA (8448 nucleotides) under Sorghum bicolor (sorghum). Its description in RNAcentral is "long non-coding RNA (SBIC_LNC007578)". The record is from RNAcentral. Lineage: Eukaryota; Viridiplantae; Streptophyta; Magnoliopsida; Poales; Poaceae.
UACGUACAAAAUUUCCCUACCAUUGAUGAGCACAGAGGCCACUUGCCGCUCAUAAUAAUUAACAAGAUCUUGAAACUGAUAGAAGAAAAUUGGUUGGGAUUCCACCCCAACACCGAAUGCUAGAUUUCCAAUACUCUGCCACUACAUAUGGUAGAAACUCCUGAAACUUGUUGCAGAAAUUGAAGGGAUAAGAGAGAAAUUGUUACUUUCGUUGGCAUUGAACAAUGCUAUACUCCUAUAAAUAGGCUUGCAAAAACUGAAAUUUCAUAUCCACAGAACACUUCUGCCUGACUACUAGGUUGUUGGUGUCGCUCGAUGGAGCGUUGUUGAGGUGCAAAAGAGCCCGAAGGAUGUUAUUCCAAAUCGAAAGUGACACCAUCACCUCAGUAAUUAAUCUCACCAUGGAAACACCAAAGCCGCCUACAUCUCCGUUGUCGCCUAGAGAGAAGAAGGGACCAGCAAACCAAAAAACUGAAAGAAUCGACAUGUGGUCAAUAUUGCAGAAUAGACAAUCAUUGUCAGUCCAUCACUGUCCAAUGUGCUAGGGUCGGCAGUGAUCCCACUACACUUUUGAACCACAUAAGGCUAGGAUCCUAACAAUAUAUGGGAUCCUUUAACCCGACAGUGAAAGCCUUUCUCAUUUUCAGGUUAGCCUCAAGCCAGUGAUACGCCAAUGUAGGUCAGGGAUUGAUUCGGCAAUGUCCUACUUCUGUUGGAUCCUCCUACCAGUGGUUAUGUGAUUCUCCACUGUGGGAUCCACUUACCCAUUACUUCUGGUUAUAAAUAGGCCAAUCUUGGUUUUUCCUUGCUACCAAGGCGUUAGGAAGCAAUGGAUAGAUGCCCUUGUUGUCCAACGAAGGUACUCCAUGUCCAGUCCACCGUCCUGUGUUCUUCCUUCAAGCUUUUGUAGUAGAAAACCUUCCACACCACUUUUGCUCCGUAGACAAGAUGUUGCAAGAGAGGUAUCUAAAGAAGAUCUGUCAAGACAGAAUCACUCUAGAUCUAAGAGCACCCGUAUCGCUCCAAUGUGUACAGUAGUCCCAAGCUCCAUUUCUUCAUUGAAUGUCCAAAUAGACUCAACUAGUGUCUUUGUGAAGUGUCAAAGUGGUCUAUAGGAGCACCAAGCUCUUGGUCUAAAAAAAUAACGAAGCUAUUACUAGAGCUAGCGUUAUACUAGAAAAGUAGAACCCUUCUGACUUGGAGAGGAAGAAAAGCUAAAAUACUAAACUAGCUGUUCACAGAGCCUAGGAUGAAAGAAUGGACAUCUUCCUCAACUCCGUAUUUUAGCUUUUCGAGAGCAAUCUAGAAAGUACAGCAUCUAGAAUGUCUCCCAGACUCGUAAAAGAAUAAGCAAGAGCUACAGUAGGAGCCUACGAAUCGAAGCCUGCCUUUUUUCGCGAAGUUUUUAACCACUCUAGUCGUCUCUGCCAAUUUUAACAAUAGAAUGCAACCAUAAUCGUUGUGGUAACUGAAAUGGUCAUUAUGUAUGCUUACCUAGGUCAAGAUCACGUUAGAGCAUCUUCAAGUAUAUAUAGCCAUCGGGCCGUGCGGGACCUACACUGUGUCGUGCCUCAUCGAGCCGUCGUGCCUCACGGGUCGUGCCAGAGGCGUGCUCGUGCCUCGCCUAUGGUCCAUGGCACGGUCCGUGGGCCAUUUGGUCGUGCCGCCCGUUGGGCACGACAAUUUUCACCGGGCCGUGCCGGCCCACAGCCCAAGCACCACAAAGCCUUCAUUGCCAUUCCCAUUCACGUUUUCACUUUUUCAUCAUGAAAUUAAAGACUCACAGAUUGACAAAAUAAUAUGAUAAAAUGAUAAUACUUAAAUCGAGUUGUUUUGUGCAAUGCUGCCUCAUUAAAAACCUUUCUAGGUAAAAAUCACCCUUGUGAGAAACCAAAGGGAAAAAGAGUACAACCAAAAGCUCUUAGUUUUAGAUUUUUAGUGUCAUUAGAGUGGCAAAUUUCACAUAAGUUACAAGAAUAGUUUCACAGUUCACACUCCUACUUCUCCAAGUCCUAGAUACUAAAUGACUUCACAAAAGUGCCGUUGCCUUCAUGGAAUAUAAUCACCACCUCCACCAGAAUCAGCAGCAGAACAGCCACAGCCACUGCCUUCAACAAAAGAUGUAAGGAUACAUAUGUUUGAUAGAAUCUAAACAGGAAUUAUAUAAGCCUUUCAUUACCUCUCCAGUUGUUGACUUGUUGUCUUCGUCUUCCAUCAAGUACCAGCAGUGGUAGAGCCGCUGCCGGUGCCGGUUAUGAGCAUGUUUAAUGUAAUCUUCCUAGGCUUGUGUAUCACCAAUGCCUAGGGGAAGGUCUAGCUUAGCUAUCAGCCUGCAUAACUCACUGCGAGCAACAGCAGGAUCAUACACCCAUUUUUUCAAGCCAUCAGAAUUAAGAGCAAGUUUAGAGUGAACCAUAGUUGCAUGUUUUUGUUUUUUCAUACAACUUUUCAUGUGCUGCCUCAAAUGCCAAGUGCCACCAAAGGAUCUAGUAGUAUAACGCGAACGACAAUGUUUGGAUAUGGCACCGGUUCUCAACCCAGUCUCAUCAUUGAUCUCGUCGAAGUACUGCCAAACAACAUAAACUCGCUUACCAGUGCUGGUGGUUGAGGUACCACGAGUGUUAGUGGAGGCAGCCACUCCCCUAUCCGCAUCGUCGCCAUCGAGGUCAAUGGGCUGCUGCUGCUCAGUGCCAACAGGUUGGUCACUGAGGUCAAUGCCGAAGAAAGCUCUCGCGUCAUCAUGCAAGUCGUCAUCAUCCUCGCGUUCUAGUUCUAAAUCCUCGAGCUCAUCCGGGUGCGGCGCAAGGUCCUCGCCAUCGCCCAGGGGGAUACAGAUCCGCCCCCGCAUUGCGAGCCCAGCACUAGCACCACUGGAUGUGGCCGGCUGAGGACGACCCUGAGCCACCAGACCUCGAUGGGCGCUUUGCCAGCCUGGCCAUGUCCACUCCAAAGGAGGAGGAGGAGGCGGUGUCAAGCACAAACCUACAAUCACUAAAAGAGAAAAGAUGAGAACACAGAAUGAGAGAGUGAGAGACGGAGUAGAUCUAGUGAUCUAGGGUUACAUACCUGCGUUACCGGAGCCCGGUGCCGGAGUAGAAGCGGCCCAUGAGUCAAGAUGAGACACGAGAUAGACAGACAUCCAUUAGAGACGACGGUGAGCGACAGCGGAGCGAGGAAGAUGAACACGAACUCAUGAGGAUAGAGAGGAGUGGAGGGGGAAAGGAGGGAGGAGAGGGUUAGGGUUAGGGAGUUCGGGGUCUCAGGCCGUCAGGCGACAACCGGCGAGGUGGAGGUGCGGCAAGGUCACCGGAGCAGGGGACGGACGGAUGAUCGACAUUCAAGUUUGAGCCUCCGAGGCGACACGCGAAAGGUGAGUAGCAGGCCGACGAGCGGCGGAUCGAGAGAAGACGGGCAGGUGGGGGGUGAUUUUAGGGUUUAGGAGGUGGGCACCGGCGGCAGCGGCAACAUAUAUAUGCAUCGGGGCAUUGGGCCACCUACUGGACCGUGCUCGUGCCGUGCCAUGGGCCGAGGCGACGGCCCAGGCACGUCCUGGUGUCUCGGGUCAUGCUAGCACGGGCCCGUCAAUCGCAGGGCCGAGUCGUGCCGUGUCGGGCCAAAACCCCGUGCCAACGGGCCGUAGGCCAUAUGGAGAUCUAUAUCUUCAAGGGAUUAGCCAAAUCAUUUUCUAUAGGUAAAUUUAGUUAUUGUUGAAGGAAAAAGUCUGCAACAGACUCUAUAAACAACUCUCUAAAUUUAGUACCUCUUUAUCUCGCCUUAUUCGUUCUCUAUUUUUAGAAAGCCUACCUCACUAACUAUUCUUUAUAAAGUCUGUUAAAGUACUCUAAUAUUUUUUUUAUCAAAUCUAUUUAAAUCAGUGAAUUUAAUCUUUUGGAGAUGCUGUUAGUCCGUUGCCACUUUAGCUUUUCUUUGGCAGAUAAAGCCACUAGGACUCCUACCACCAACAAAACGGAUCCAUAUGAUAAGAUUGUUGCUUGUUGUGGCUUCUAGAGUCUAGGCAAAUAUCCGAUUAAAAAAAAUAAGGUGUCAUUUUAGCCCCUUUUUUUUUGCAUGGAUUGUCGGUUCUGUAUUAAUCACUCUGUGUGCAAAACUAUGCAUCCAAUUAAAAAGCGGUGCCAUUUUAGGCCUUGUUUAGCUAAAAAAAUUUAGUAAAAUAGACACGGUAGCAUUUUUAUUUAUAUUUUACAAAUAUUAUCUAAUUAUAGACUAGUUAAGCUCAAAAAAAUUGUCUCACAAAUUAUAUAUAAACUAUAAAUUAAUUAUUUUUUUAUUUAUAUUUAAUGUUCCAUACAUGUGUCGCAAUAUUCGAUGUCUAUAGAAAAUCUGAAAAAAUUUGUAAAAUUUUUUGAACUAAACACGACCUUAGCUUUUUCUUCGUGUGAGAGACAGCAAAGUGAUUGGUAAAAAGUAUCCAAAACUGAGAAUUCUGACAACCUUUGUAAGUACAAAAUAGAGAAAAUCAUCUAUCCAAAACUCACAGAAAAUAAAAACGGAGCAAACAAAAUCUUGCCAAAGCCCAAUCUCAAUUUCAAAUCAAACUCUCAAGAAGAAGUAUGUACACAACUACAUGUCAACUAGCACAGCAACAACCAAAGAACCAAGCCGAAAGCCACGCCCCAACUACCCCCGGGCGGCCUUGCCUACCUGCACGGCUGCACGCGCUACAACGGCCCAGAUGACGCCACGCGUCCGUCGCCGCCGUCCAUCUCGGCCGCCCACUCCGCCGCCCGCCUGCCUGACGCGAACCGCCGCAUGCCACCCAGCCCGGGGGCCGGCGCAGCCGCCACCUCCUUCGUCUCCCUCCGCCUGGUGGCCGCCUCGGCCAGCGGCGGGGACUGGUCGACGCACUCGACGCUGUUGUUCCUGGACCUGCUCCGCCGCAUCAAGAACGCGAACCCGCCGCAGCACCCGGGGGCCCUCGCCCCACCCCCGCCCGCGCCGUUCCCUCCGCGCGGCCUCGGCGGGCGGCCGAGGCGCGCGCGCUCGCGGUCGGAGAGGACCUUGCCGAUGCAGGACACCUUGGGAGAGCCGGGCUCCGGGACGGCGGCUCUGGACGCGCGCCCGCCGCCCGUCUUGGCCUUAUUCUUGGGGAACAUGGCGGGCGGGUGGCCAUGCCCAUGCCCAUGCCGGCCCCGCCCGCCGCCGCCCUGGCCGAGCUUCCCCGAGAGGCCGAUGAUGGGCGCCGCCGUCGGCUUGAGGUUGCCCGAGAACCGCUGCGAGGUGCCGUUGUUGUUGGCGUGGGGGCCGGCGCCGGGGUGGUGGUUCUUGAGGAGGGACUUGGGGUUGGUGUUCUCCUUGAGCGAGUCGUCGCGGUCGUACACGCCGUUGAUCUCGGACCACGUGAUCUCGUCGCCGAUGCGCAGGCGCGUGGACUCCGCCGGGUCGCCGAAGCGCGCGGCGGCGGCGGCGGCCAUGAGAGGGAAGGAAGGGAGCGACCGAGCGAGGGAAAGAGGAGAGGCGGACACGAGAUUGGGAACAGAGGAAAUCGAGCCGUCUCCGGCGUGCGCGUUGGGGUUUUAUGGAGUUUUUUUUCGCUGACUCGUGGAGAUUGAUGUGAUUCCGGGCGGCUGCCAAAUUUACUCCUUGUUUUGCUUCCGUUCCGUGGGCCGGGUCUACAAACGAGUUUAGUUUCUAAACUUUUUUUUUUAAUUUCACGUCACAUUGAAUCUUUUGAUGUAUACAUAAAGUAUCAAAUAUAAACGAAAACAAAACCUAAUUAUAUAGUUUGUCUAUAAUUUGCGUGAUGAAUCUUUUAAACCUGUCUAGUUAGUCUAUAAUAGACAAUAAUUGUUAAAUAUAAAUAAAAAUACUACCGUAGUCAAAGCCAAAAAAUUUCACGAACUAAACAAGGCCUAAACAUUUGUGCGGACGCUCAAUUCUCACCUUUGACCUUGCUAUGCAGUUAAUAUGUUUGUGCUUCAUAUAUUGCAAAGCCAUUGGAUAUAUCAGAGCAACUUCAACACAUAUAGGCCCUGUUUGGAUCCAUGUGUUAGAGUUAGAUUUAGCUAUUUGGGGCUCAAAUAGCCCUAAAGUAUCCAAACAUGAGGGUUAGAUUGGGGUUAUUUGCAUCUAACCCACCCAAAAAACUAUCCCCCCAAAGAGGUGCUUAUUUGGGCUAUUUGGGACUAUUUAAGGCGGGGCCCACAGGAAAAGGGAUCGGCUGUAUCGCACGGGAUCUCCACUCACGAUGCCUCCCAGCCACGAUCCCUCCCAGUUACCAGCACUGCUGCCUCCCAGCUCGCCUCGCCUCCGCCUCUCAACCGCGCCACCACCUCCAAGCCGUGCUGCCGCCUCCCAAUCGUGUCGCCGCCUCCCAACAAUGGCAAAACAGCCCGCAAGGUACCAUAUGGAGUAAUGGAAAAAUGGCCCGCCGCCAGCAAUGGCAAAACGGCACGCAAGGUACCAUGUGGAGCAAUGUCAUUUGUGAGCGGGAGGAGGCCACACAACAGCGGCCACACCAAAUCUGGCUGGGAAGGAGCCAAAUGAAUGGGAAAGUACAUUUAUUGUCAAUUUAACCCUUGCAUCCAAACACCUAUUUGGCUAGAGUUAGUUGAGGGCUAGUCAUGAGUUAGAGAAUAACUAUAACCUCUAACUUAGUUAGAGUAUCCAAACAGGGCCAUAGUAUCCAUAUUAUCUAGGCUAUUUUUAGUUUUUUUUUAAACAAAAAUUAAAUUCCAACAGAUGUGCUAUUUAGUUUGCUAUCUCUAAACUUUUGCUUGUCAUAUAUAACAUGUCGUUCUUACUGGCUAUCUUAUACAAAAACUGUUGUGGAACUCUACGCUUUGGGUAAUUUUUUUAUUUUACACAAUGACUAAAACUUAUAGUUUAGAAUAUAAUUUUAUCUAGUCUUUUGGAGAUGCUCUCAUAAACUAUGAUCCACGUUAUCUAUAUCUUAUAUAUUAGUUAUCUAUCUAUAUUUAUAUCUAUCUAUGUCUAUUUCUAUAUCUUUAUCGAUCUAUUAGUUAGUUUCAGUUGAACUUUUUCUAAUACUAUCCUCAGUCCCAAAUUAUAAACUGUUUUGGUAAUUUUUCCAGGUACAUUGUUUUUAAUACACGAUAUAUCUAGAUAUACAAUAAAAGUUGUGUAUAAAAAGCUAACGAAGGCGGAAGUAUGUUUUACUCCCAUGGAUGUACAUUUGGGUUUAGAUGCUGCCAUAUGUUGGCUCAUCCCGGGGCAACGACGACAAUGAUUGGCUCCCAUCCACCCAUGCCGUGACACCAAACAAAUGUGUAGGGGCAACUAUAUAUGAACCAAAACUCUUUUUUUUGACGCGUUUCAUUUCAUUCCCUUUUGUCUUUGGCCAUUGUUGCCACCCUAGCUAGCUACGGUCGUUAGAAAAGUGGCUUGUUAAUUAUGCACCAAGCAGGCGGUGAGCGAUCGAGGUGGUAGUGGACCGGUGGUGCCACUACAGAUGGUGGUGAACUAGAACGGGUAGUGUUUUCUCGAAGAAUUAGCGUGAGCAUGCAUGCACACUACGUGCGCGCAUUUUCAUUGUGAAGAAAAGCAGAGCACUAGUAUCGAUCGCUCUAGAUUUCUAGCUAGAUCUUUGACGUUAUAUUUAACUCUUCGCUUCAGCUUAUCCACCGAGACAGCCAGAUAUUUAAUAUUAUUUUUCUCUUAUAACAAAUUAGUGAAUAAUAUUUUAACUAUAGCUUUUCAUCCAAACGUAUAUGUAAUUUGUAUGUGGACUGCUGCACAAGUUCACAAAAGUGGUCUGUGGGCCAGGUGUACGUACGCACAGACGAAGAGUCUGCUGGACGAACAGUGCAGCGUAUUCAGACGGGUAGCUGGGUUUUUGGUGUAACAGCGCUGAAUGAACAGCCUUGGGAUUAACGACAAGCUUUUAGUUAUCUUAUCUAAUUAGAAAAGAAAAAUUCAAAUUGAUGAGCUCCUACGUUUGCCGUUUGGAGCGACCGGAGGCGCCACCCACCUUUUGACCUUGGACUCCUGCUGCUGCUGCUGCUGCUGACUCUGCAAGUCUGCUGCACGAUACUCCGACUGGCUACCUGCUACGGCCGUACGUUGGCCGUGGCCUGGCUCGCUCGCUUCCCCCCUGCACAAACAUCAAGUCAAGGCCUUGUUUAUUUUUUAGAUUUUCCGUUACAUCGAAUCUUUAGAUACAUAUAUAGAGUAUUAAAUAUAAAUGAAAAUAAAAACUAAUUGCAUAGUUUGGUCGGAAUUGACGAGAUGAAUCUUUUGAGCCUAGUUAGUCUAUGAUUAAACAGUAUUUGUCAAAUACAAACAAAAGUACUACAGUGUCGAUUUUCCAAAAAAAAUUUAUAACUAAACAAGGCCCAAGAUUCUCCGUCUCCACUCUCCAGCUGGUACGGAGUGACCGCCCCACGGCUGACCGAACGCCUGGUUCGUUUGGCUGGUACAAAUCAGGGUAAGGCGUGUUCAAUGACAUGAAUUUAUUAAGCUAAUUAAUCU